This 693-nucleotide ribosomal RNA is filed under the name uncultured bacterium. Its description in RNAcentral is "bacterial SSU rRNA". It matches the Rfam family "Bacterial small subunit ribosomal RNA", at positions 114 to 823 of the family's 1533-position model. The record is from RNAcentral.
CGCGUGGGUAACCUGCCUUACACUGGGGGAUAACACUUAGAAAUAGGUGCUAAUACCGCAUAACAGGAGAAGAUGCAUGUCUUUUCCUUAAAAACUCCGGUGGUGUAAGAUGGACCCGCGUCUGAUUAGCUUGUUGGCGGGGUAACGGCCCACCAAGGCGACGAUCAGUAGCCGGCCUGAGAGGGUGAACGGCCACAUUGGGACUGAGACACGGCCCAAACUCCUACGGGAGGCAGCAGUGGGGAAUAUUGGACAAUGGGGGGAACCCUGAUCCAGCGACGCCGCGUGAGUGAAGAAGUAUUUCGGUAUGUAAAGCUCUAUCAGCAGGGAAGAAAGAAAUGACGGUACCUGACUAAGAAGCCCCGGCUAACUACGUGCCAGCAGCCGCGGUAAUACGUAGGGGGCAAGCGUUAUCCGGAUUUACUGGGUGUAAAGGGAGCGUAGACGGCGAUGCAAGUCUGAAGUGAAAGGCGGGGGCCCAACCCCCGGACUGCUUUGGAAACUGUAUAGCUGGAGUGCAGGAGAGGUAAGUGGAAUUCCUAGUGUAGCGGUGAAAUGCGUAGAUAUUAGGAGGAACACCAGUGGCGAAGGCGGCUUACUGGACUGUAACUGACGUUGAGGCUCGGAAGCGUGGGGAGCAAACAGGAUUAGAUACCCUGGNAGUCCACGCCGUAAACGAUGAUCACCAGGUGU